RNAcentral lists this ribosomal RNA (338 nucleotides) under Iranian plum phytoplasma PJ19. RNAcentral's name for it is "bacterial SSU rRNA". It matches the Rfam family "Bacterial small subunit ribosomal RNA", at positions 1202 to 1533 of the family's 1533-position model. The record is from RNAcentral. Lineage: Bacteria; Bacillati; Mycoplasmatota; Mollicutes; Acholeplasmatales; Acholeplasmataceae.
UUAUGACCUGGGCUACAAACGUGAUACAAUGGCUGUUACAAAGGGUAGCUGAAACGUAAGUUCUUGGCCAAUCCCCAAAAACAGUCUCAGUCCGGAUUGUAGUCUGCAACUCGACUUCAUGAAGUUGGAAUCGCUAGUAAUCGCGAAUCAGCAUGUCGCGGUGAAUACGUUCUCGGGGUUUGUACACACCGCCCGUCAAACCACGAAAGUUGGCAAUACCCCAAAAUGGUAGCCUAACUCGUUUAUUCGAGAGGGCGCUGUCUAAGGUAGGGUCGAUGAUUGGGGUUAAGUCGUAACAAGGUAUCCCUACCGGAAGGUGGGGAUGGAUCACCUCCUUU